GGGGUCUCGAUCGCGCUAUUGUCAUGGAGACGGGAAGCUGGCUGCAGCGGCGGCGGGGACCGUGGGGCCGAGGUGGCUGCCAGCCGGCCAAUGUCUAAGCGAGGCGGAGCGGCCCAGGCGGCCCGAGCCUGGGGGAGCGCGCAGCCGGCCAGUGGCGGCCUCGCCGGCGGCCUCUUCCCGGGCUCGCAGUAGGCCCGAGUCGUCGCCGGGAGCUCCUGGGAGCAGCGUCCCCGCCCUGCUCCCCUCGCUCCCGCCUCUUGCGGCCCCACGGCCCCUCAGCGCCCGCCCCCGGCUCCGCCCGCCGCAGCCGCAGCCCCUGGCGCUAACGGUCGGUAACGGCCCGCGCGCGCCGCCCGCCGGGGGCUCGCGCCAGCCACGAGGGAGCGUCCGCGGCCCGCGCGCCCGCGCGGCGGAGGAGAGGUGUUAAGUGUGAUGCUUCCAUAAUACAUUUGGAUGCUGUCAGCUAAGUUCACUUCUGAACUAAGGGGUUCCUCCAAAUGUUGGCUGAAAUUCAUCCCAAGGCUGGUCUGCAAUUACCUAUUUCUUUUAAGAAUAAAUUUAGUGGGAAUAUCAGUUCCAGUCAUGGGUACCAAACUUUUUUAGUGACAGAGUACACACAGAGUCUGCAAUUCAUAAUGGAGCUACUGUACUGGCUAUUGGAAGGAGGAGAUUCUGAAGAUAAGGAGGUAAAACCUGUUUAGAAAUUAAAAAUGAGUUACGAUUUAAAGAAAAUUCAGAUGACUCAUUGUGAGUGCUAGUUCUCUUGUAGGAUGCCACUGGAAAUGUUGAAAUGAAAAAUAUUCAGCCGUUGGUCUUUGAAAUUUCCUGUGAUGUGUUUCAAUCUAGAUGCAAAGAACAUGGAAAAAUCAAAGUGCUCGAGUGGUUUAAAUAUGUUUUGGGUAUUCCUGUUUAUAGACUAUAAUACUUUUCCAAUUAAAAUCCUCAGUUGUCACGCAGAAGAAGGUUAAGCUGUAUUUGAUUGCCAGUUUUACUGAAAAUGCUUAGUAUUUUACAGUAUCACCAAAUAUAUUUUGUUUAGCCAAGGUAUAGGAAAAAUAAAAUAAAUUGUAUAGGUUGACUUUUUUCUAAAAUGUCUUUAUUGGAUUGAAUGAAUGUUUAUACCUGAAAAAAAAAGGUUCAAAAA
RNAcentral lists this long non-coding RNA (1144 nucleotides) under Homo sapiens (human). Its description in RNAcentral is "non-protein coding lnc-IRX3-80:10". The record is from RNAcentral. Lineage: Eukaryota; Metazoa; Chordata; Mammalia; Primates; Hominidae.